Coturnix japonica (Japanese quail) is the source of this 2408-nucleotide long non-coding RNA. NCBI's taxonomy places the organism in Eukaryota, Metazoa, Chordata, Aves, Galliformes, Phasianidae. The record is from Ensembl.
GGGGUUUAAUGGGGGGUCUUGAAUUGGGGGGCUUAUGGGGGGGCAUAAAUGGGGGAGGGUCGUUAUAUAGGGGGGUUAUGGGUGGAUGGGGGCACAAGAUGGCCGCCAUUGGUUGGGUGGAUGGAGAACAAGAUGGCCGCCAUUGUUAAACAGGGUUGGAGGGGGGGAAACAAGAUGGCGGACAUUAAGAAGAGGGCGGGACUUCCGGUCUUGAAGAUAAUUGAUGGCUCAAUGGGGAGAGGGACUUCCGGUCUUGGGGAGGAAGUGGGGGUGCAUGGGAACUUCCGGUGCUGGGUAAGAGGAGGCGGGACUUCCGGUUCUGGAUAGAAGGGCGGGGGGCGGGACUUCCGGUUGGUCCGGGCACCAAUGAAAGAUGAGACUUCCGGUUCCGGGUAAUCCAGGGGGUGGGACUUCCGGUUCGCGGGCCAAUCUACAACGGAAGCUCGGAGGGGGGGGAACACACACAAAGGAGACUUCCGGUUCUAUAUGCUCCUAUGAGGGCUUAGUUCCGGUUGGAUGGAACCGAACCGGGCCUGAUUUUCGGUUUUUCCACUCAAAAACUCGGGACUUCCGGUUCGAGGCACCCAGAAGACCGGAUAUCCGCUUUUGUGCAGCACUUCCGGUCUCCCACAUCCGGCUUUGUGGGCGGGACUUCCGGCUACUCUUCUCCACCAACGGCUGCGCUCAGAGCGCAAGGGGGCGUGGCUAAAUAUAAUGAGAUGCAAACCACGCCCAUGUCGCUCCAUAUAAGGAAAGAGGGCGUGGUCACGUUACCAUAUAUGGUAUCAACAUGGCGGCUGGGAGAUGAAGCCCCGCCCCCUUUCCCCGGCAUCCCCCGCGCGGCCCCGCCCCCCCCCGGAGCGCAGCGCAGCGGUGCCCAUGGAGGAGGAGGAGAAGCCCCCAGGGCAUGAAGAGCCAACGGGGCCGGGGGGGGGGGCGGCUGUCGGGACCCCCCCAUGAUGGAGAUGUGGACCCCCCCCCUCCACUGAAAGCAAUGGACGGAGUGAGAACGGCCUGGGGGGCUACAGGAGAUGCAGUUGGGAAGCGGUCCCUGCGGCAGCGUUGGUGUUGGGCUCCCUGUAUUAAAGGGGUCCCGGUAAGUUCCCACCCCAAAACCCCAAAACCCCUGACCCCAUUGACCCCCCCCACCCCAUAUCCAUAUCCAUACCCAACCGACCCCAAUUUGGUGUUUUUUCACCCCAAAACCAGGUGGUGGAGGGGCUGCAGGGGGCGCUGCGACAGCUGCUGGGGGCAGCAGGGUGAGUGGGGGACUUAUGGGGUCAUGGGGACGGCUAUGGGGUGUAUAGGGACGGUUAUGGGGUGUAUAGGGAUGGCUAUGGGGUGUAUAGGGACGGCUAUGGGGUGUAUAGGGAUGGCUAUGGGGUGGGGGUGUAUAGGGUGUAUAUAACGCCAUAUAAUUCUAUAUAACCCUAUAUAUUCCUAUAUAACCCUAUAUAAUCCUAUAUAACCCUAUAUAACCAUAUAAAUCCUUAUAUAACUCUAUAUAAUCCUAUAUAUAUCUAUAUAACCCUAUAUAAUCUUAUAUAACCCUAUAUAGCCUUAUGUAAUCCUGUAUGACCCUAUAUAACCCUAUAUAAUCCUAUAUAACCCUAUAUAAUCCUAUAUAACCAUAUAUAUCCCUAUAUAACCCUAUACAACCCUAUAUAGCCCUAUAUAACCCUAUAUAACCAUAUAUAAGCCUAUAUAACCGUAUAUAACCCUAUAUAACCCUAUAUAAUCCUAUAUCUCCCCCUAUCCCCUAUAGCCCUGAUGAAGAGGGACACUGGGGUCCCUCUAUGGGCACAUUGGGGUCACACUAUGGGGCCAGGAGAUCCCAUAACCCUAUAUAACCCUAUAUAGUCCUAUAUAACCCUAUAUAACCCUGUAAAUCCUUAUAUAACUCUAUACAAUCCUAUAUAUCCCUAUAUAGCCCUAUAUAACACUAUGUAAUCCUAUAUAACCCUAUAUAACCCUAUAUAACAUUAUAUAAUCCUAUGUAACCCUAUAUAAUCCUAUAUAACCUUAUGUAAUCCUAUAUGACCCUAUAUAACCCUAUAUAACCUUAUAAAUCCCUAUAUAACCCUAUAUAACCCUAUAUAUCCCUAUAUAUCCCUAUAUAACCUUAUAUAUCCCUAUAUAACCCUAUAUAAUCCUAUAUAACCCUAUAUAACCCUAUAAAUCCCUAUAUAACCCUAUAUAACCCCAUAUAACCCCAUAUAACCCUAUACAACCCUAUAUAACCCUAUACAACCCUAUAUAACCCUAUAUAACCCCGUAUAACCCCGUAUAACCUCGUAUAACCCUACAUAACCCUACAUAACCCUAUAUAACCCUAUAUAAUCCUAUAUAAUCCUAUAUAACCCUAUACAACGCUAUAUAACCCCAUAUAACCCCAUAUAACCCCAUAU